AGUGAACGCUGGCGGUAGGCCUAACACAUGCAAGUCGAACGGCAGCACAGUAAGAGCUUGCUCUUACGGGUGGCGAGUGGCGGACGGGUGAGGAAUACAUCGGAAUCUACUUUUUCGUGGGGGAUAACGUAGGGAAACUUACGCUAAUACCGCAUACGCCCUACGGGUGAAAGCAGGGGAUCUUCGGACCUUGCGCGAUUGAAUGCGCCGAUGUCGGAUUAGCUAGUUGGCGGGGUAAAGGCCCACCAAGGCGACGAUCCGUAGCUGGUCUGAGAGGAUGAUCGGCCACACUGGAACGGGGACACGGACCAGACUCCUACGGGAGGCAGCAGUGGGGAAUAUUGGACAAUGGGCGGAAGCCUGAUCCAGCCAUACCGCGUGGGUGAAGAAGGCCUUCGGGUUGUAAAGCCCUUUUGUUGGGAAAGAACAGCAGCAGGUUAAUACCCAGCUGUUCUGACGGUACCCAAAGAAUAAGCACCGGCUAACUUCGUG
RNAcentral lists this ribosomal RNA (492 nucleotides) under uncultured bacterium. RNAcentral describes it as "partial 16S ribosomal RNA". It matches the Rfam family "Bacterial small subunit ribosomal RNA", at positions 29 to 507 of the family's 1533-position model. The record is from RNAcentral.